GGAGAAGUACCCAAGUGGCUGAAGGGGGCGCACUCGAAAUGCGUUAGGGCGGUUAUUGCCGUCGCGUGGGUUCAAAUCCCACUUUCUCCGCCA
RNAcentral lists this transfer RNA (93 nucleotides) under Bacillus sp. (in: firmicutes). Its description in RNAcentral is "Bacillus sp. (in: Bacteria) tRNA-Ser". It matches the Rfam family "tRNA". From Rfam's summary of the family: Transfer RNA (tRNA) molecules are approximately 80 nucleotides in length. Their secondary structure includes four short double-helical elements and three loops (D, anti-codon, and T loops). Lineage: Bacteria; Bacillati; Bacillota; Bacilli; Caryophanales; Bacillaceae. The record is from RNAcentral. RNAcentral also lists the same sequence under 1 other name.